RNAcentral lists this ribosomal RNA (468 nucleotides) under uncultured bacterium. Its description in RNAcentral is "partial 16S ribosomal RNA". It matches the Rfam family "Bacterial small subunit ribosomal RNA", at positions 28 to 507 of the family's 1533-position model. The record is from RNAcentral.
GACGAACGCUGGCGGCGUGCUUAACACAUGCAAGUCGAACGGGAAGGCCCUGCUUUUGUGGGGUGCUCGAGUGGCGAACGGGUGAGUAACACGUGAGUAACCUGCCCUUGACUUUGGGAUAACGUCAGGAAACUGGGGCUAAUACCGGAUAGGAGCGCCUGCUGCAUGGUGGGGGUUGGAAAGUGUCUGCGGUUGGGGAUGGACUCGCGGCUUAUCAGCUUGUGGGUGGGGUAGUGGCUUACCAAGGGUUUGGCGGGUUUGCGGGCGUGAGAGGGGGCCGGCCCACAUGGUGAGUGGGAUACGCCCCAGACACUCCCGGGGGGCAGAGGUGGGAAUAUUGCACAAUGGGCGGAAGCCUGAUGCAGCAACGCCGCGUGCGGGAUGACGGCCUUCGGGUUGUAAACCGCUUUCGCCUGUGACGAAGCGUGAGUGACGGUAAUGGGUAAAGAAGCACCGGCUAACUACGUG